GAAAAACAUGAACUCGUGAUCUCAUGGCACAUGAUCACUUGGAAAAUCUCAGCUAAACCGACGCAUCUCCAGACAGCACGUUUUGACCCCUGACUCUGUGACGGUUUUCCACAGAACGGAAGAAGAUUUUGACUAGAGAAGAGAUCCUGCAGAUGUUUGCUAGGACCCAAAUACCUCCUAACCUGAGGAGGAGGAGGUCUUCUACUUUCAUUGCCUCUGCUGGAAUUUCAGUACUAGAUUCAGUUGGCUGGAGGGAUACGGGCUACAUAACAGAGAUCACCAUGAUAACACGGAGGUGGUAUUCCAUAUAUUGUGUACUAAUUCCAGGCCAAUAGCAACACCAAAUUUAAGUCUAAAUCUUAAGAGGGUCAACUUAAGAGGGCUAUACAGUACAUUGUUUCUGAGGAAGUCUACCAUUACACUGCAAUGGCUGGACAAUGCAGGUAUAACCAUCACAUACUGCCAACUGCUCCAGGUACAAAUAUGUUUCUGAGGGUAAUGAGGAGGCUCUUAAGCAAGCUGUGGCCACCAGUGGACCUAUCUCUGUGGUUACUGAUGCUAUUUGCACAUAAUUCAUGAUUUACUUUAACAACUACAAAUGGUCUCAAAACAAGUAGCUGGUGGAUGUGAUGAUUACCCUGACAGUAAAUCCAGUUUGCAUUGUAAUGAAUAAAUUGUAACCAUUUUGAAUUACUACUGUCAUUACACACAGCGUUAUCGAGAGGCAUGUCUUUUCUGCCACUGUAAUGCACAUGAAAUUAAAACUGUUUUGGUUUCUAUAUGGUCUAUUUUGUCUACUUUUAUUAACAGGUGUCUUCAGUGACAUGGAAUGGUGUCUGUAAGGUAUGGCAGCCUGAAUGGAGAGAACUACUGGCUAGUGAAAAACAGAUGGGACACUAGAUUUGGAGAUGGAGGCUACAUCCACAUUGCCCACAAUAAAGGAAACGUGUGGAAUUUAGCACAGAUAAGCAG
Molecule: long non-coding RNA, 972 nt
Organism: Tachysurus vachellii
Lineage: Eukaryota; Metazoa; Chordata; Actinopteri; Siluriformes; Bagridae
Exons: 5
Source: RefSeq, a predicted model, not a curated record